RNAcentral lists this ribosomal RNA (301 nucleotides) under uncultured bacterium. RNAcentral describes it as "partial 16S ribosomal RNA". It matches the Rfam family "Bacterial small subunit ribosomal RNA", at positions 509 to 809 of the family's 1533-position model. The record is from RNAcentral.
CAGCAGCCGCGGGAAUACGGAGGGUGCAAGCGUUAAUCGGAAUUACUGGGCGUAAAGCGCACGCAGGCGGUCUGACAAGUCAGAUGUGAAAUCCCUGAGCUUAACUUAGGAAUUGCAUUCGAUACUGGGAAGCUAGAGUAUGGGAGAGGAUGGUAGAAUUCCAGGUGUAGCGGUGAAAUGCGUAGAGAUCUGGAGGAAUACCGAUGGCGAAGGCAGCCAUCUGGCCUAAUACUGACGCUGAGGUACGAAAGCAUGGGGAGCAAACAGGAUUAGAUACCCCUGUAGUCCCUGUCUCUUAUUU